Molecule: unclassified non-coding RNA, 341 nt
Filed under: soil metagenome
Description: partial contains 5.8S ribosomal RNA, internal transcribed spacer 2, and large subunit ribosomal RNA
Rfam family: 5.8S ribosomal RNA (bases 1-120)
Source: RNAcentral
GAUGAAGAACGCAGCGAAAUGCGAUAAGUAGUGUGAAUUGCAGAAUUCAGUGAAUCAUCGAAUCUUUGAACGCACAUUGCGCCCUUUGGUAUUCCAAAGGGCAUGCCUGUUCGAGCGUCAUUUGUACCCUCAAGCUUUGCUUGGUGUUGGGCGUCUUGUCUCUAGCUUUGCUGGAGACUCGCCUUAAAGUAAUUGGCAGCCGGCCUACUGGUUUCGGAGCGCAGCACAAGUCGCACUCUCUAUCAGCAAAGGUCUAGCAUCCAUUAAGCCUUUUUUUCAACUUUUGACCUCGGAUCCGGUAGGGAUACCCGCUGAACUUAAGCAUAUCAAUAAGCGGAGGA